AUACGGAGGGUGCAAGCGUUAAUCGGAAUUACUGGGCGUAAAGCGUACGUAGGCGGUUAUUUAAGUCAGAUGUGAAAGCCCCGGGCUUAACUUGGGAACUGCAUUUGAAACUGGGUAACUAGAGUUUAGUAGAGGGGAGUGGAAUUUCAGGUGUAGCGGUGAAAUGCGUAGAGAUCUGAAGGAACAUCAGUGGCGAAGGCGACUCCCUGGACUAAAACUGACGCUGAGGUACGAAAGCGUGGGUAGCAAACAGGAUUAGAAACCCCAGUAGUCC
Molecule: ribosomal RNA, 274 nt
Filed under: uncultured bacterium
Lineage: Bacteria
Description: partial 16S ribosomal RNA
Rfam family: Bacterial small subunit ribosomal RNA
Source: RNAcentral